Non-coding RNA from Nitrospirae bacterium CG2_30_41_42, 98 nucleotides. NCBI's taxonomy places the organism in Bacteria, Pseudomonadati, Nitrospirota. The record is from Rfam.
GGAACGGCCCUUCGCAGCAGGUGGAUGUGAACUCCGUCAGAUCCGGAAGGAAGCAGCGGUAAGCAUUUUUCCUGGGUGCCGCAGGUAGCCGCUCUCAG